UUUUUCCCCCUGGGAAAAGCCACUCCCCUCUUGGUACAAGUCAGUUGCGUCAGAAGCAAGCUACGGCACCCACGGCAGCCUCAGAUUCUCCCCACCGCACCCCCACCUCUGUCAGGGCCGGCUCAGGGGCUGCUGCUGAAUUCCCAUGCGAGGCUCACUCGGCGGUCAGGAAGAGGAAAGCUGCUCUGGGAAUAGCAAACUCCAGAGAGCCAGGAUUACAGGCACGUGGGGGAGGCAGCGGAGGUGGCUGUUUCACACUCUGUCACAAUGGAGGUAGCAGUUUCCUUUUGAGGGACUGGAAAUGUGACCUACUUCCUUGUAACAAGGAUGCUGCGUCAGCACUUGGAUGGAAAACACAGGUGAAGGAUGUGCUCCUCCCCAGACAGAACAAGAAAGAAAAAGAGACCUAUUACUGUUUUGGAUGCAGACAACAAUCACACAUGACAACUCAAGAGGAGUGAGGCAUGGAGCUAGUGAAGGCUGAGCAUGCUGUUCCGACUCUACGUCAGCAGCCUGAAGCCUCCGGGGCACAGCCCGUGUGUGCCUGCAACCCCGCUGGAUGCUGCCAGCUUCCACCAAGGUCCUACUGAUCCCUACCGUUCCGCACCCAAGCCUGCCAUCCUGGUUUGGCCUUAUCACAAUUUUCACAGCACACCUGUCUUGCUCAGCAUUUUGAAUUCCACCAAAGACCUGACGGAACAUCAAAUAGCAAAUGAAUAGCAUCAUAAGAAGUCAAGAGAAAGACCAUGGAAGAAAGAAGAAACUUUAACAGCGCUUUUUUCAUGAUCUUUGAACAAGGAGGUCUAAAUUGUCAUUUUGCACUGGCCCUGUCCCAGCUCAUGUUUGUUGAGUGAAAUAAUAAAGAAAUAAAUGCAUACAUGUAUAUUUAUUAGAACGCGGAACACACUCAUUAUCUUCCAUUUCCUAACAACGCUGUGUGUGAUCAGGAUUGCAGGCAUGUUAUGAAAUACUAGAAGAGCUGAAUAUUAAAAUUACUCUGGAAU
Molecule: non-coding RNA, 1004 nt
Organism: Chlorocebus sabaeus (green monkey)
Lineage: Eukaryota; Metazoa; Chordata; Mammalia; Primates; Cercopithecidae
Source: RefSeq, a predicted model, not a curated record